This 387-nucleotide ribosomal RNA is filed under the name Triticum aestivum (bread wheat). RNAcentral's name for it is "partial small subunit ribosomal RNA". Lineage: Eukaryota; Viridiplantae; Streptophyta; Magnoliopsida; Poales; Poaceae. The record is from RNAcentral.
AUGGCGGGCGCCGAAGGGCUCCCCGCGGACCUCCUCGCGGCGAUCUUCCGCCGGUGCGCCUCGGCGUACGACCGCGCCCGCUUCGCCGCCGUCUGCACGUCGUGGCGUGCCGUCGCGUUGUGGCACCCGAAGCUACCGGCUAUCCCGCUGUUGCUCCCGUCGACCGCCAAUGGCCGGCGCGACCGGAUGACGCGGGCGUACAGCCCGGAGGACGGCAGGGUCCUGCGUUCCCCGCUGCCCGGGUUCCCCAAGUGCAGGCCAGAUCGUGGGGUCCCACGACGGUGGCUGGGUCGCCGCCGCCACCGGCUCCCGGAUCGUGGUCGUGAACCUCUUCGUCCGCGGCCGGGUGCUGCUCUCUCGGGACUUUACAUGUACAUGCUUUGCUAG